AUGAAUUUCUCAACUGAACCAUGUAAACCUAAACCAUCUAGGCUUAUGGGAAGAACCCAAACACCCAAAUUACCACAACCAACUUCACUUUUUGUUUCAAAACGAAGAACCCAAUUCAGAAAAUUCUACACGAACACAAUUCAAGUACUCUUCAACUCAAUUGAUUGCAACAAAAUGAAAUAUAACUUUUUGGUUUUUAUUUUGACAUAA
This 210-nucleotide long non-coding RNA is filed under the name Prunus dulcis (almond). Its description in RNAcentral is "sRNA ncRNA". The record is from RNAcentral. Lineage: Eukaryota; Viridiplantae; Streptophyta; Magnoliopsida; Rosales; Rosaceae.